GUAAGGUCCUUCGGGAUACACGAGAGGCGGACGGCUGAGUAACGCAUGGGAACGCACCCUACACUGAGGGAUAAGAUGCCGAAAGGUGUUCUAAUACCGCAUGUGGUCUUCGGAUUAAAGUAUUUAUACGGUGAAGGAGCGGCCUGUGUCAUAUUAGGUAGUUGGUGAGGUAAUGGCUCACCAAGCCAACGAUGUGUAGCUGGUCUGAGAGGAUGAUCAGCCAGACUGGAACUGAGAACGGUCCAGACUCC
This 251-nucleotide ribosomal RNA is filed under the name uncultured bacterium. Its description in RNAcentral is "partial 16S ribosomal RNA". It matches the Rfam family "Bacterial small subunit ribosomal RNA", at positions 69 to 339 of the family's 1533-position model. The record is from RNAcentral.